RNAcentral lists this non-coding RNA (862 nucleotides) under Lithobates brownorum (Brown's leopard frog). Its description in RNAcentral is "Rana brownorum (Brown's leopard frog) partial 12S ribosomal RNA". It matches the Rfam family "Bacterial small subunit ribosomal RNA". Lineage: Eukaryota; Metazoa; Chordata; Amphibia; Anura; Ranidae. The record is from RNAcentral.
GUUUCUUCUUUUACACAUGCAACUCUCAGCAAACCAGUGAGGACGCCCUUUAAACCUUCACCAGGUAAAGGAGCCGAUAUCAGGCACAAAUCCAGCCCACAACAUCUAGUCCCACCACACCCCCAAGGGUAAUCAGCAGUGAUUAAUUUUGUAUAUAAGCGCAAGCUUGAUUCAGUUAGAGAAAAGAGGGCCGGCUAACAUUGGUGCCAGCCGCCGCGGCUACACCCUAGGGCUCAAGUUGAUAAUCAUCGGCGUUAAGCGUGAUUAAAGUUACUAAAAAAUUAGGAUUAAAUUAACACUUAGUAGUUUUAUGCUUGUUGUUAAGAAACACACAAACGAAAGUUAUCCUAAACACACUUGAAUACACGACAGUUAGGGAAACAAACUGGGAUUAGAUACCCCACUAUGCCUAACCGUAAACAAUUUAUUUACACCUACCAGCGCCAGGGAACUACGAGCAAUGCUUAAAACCCAAAGGAUUUGACGGUGUCCCACCCAGCUAGAGGAGCCUGUUCUAUAAUCGAUGAUCCCCGCUACACCCCACCAUCUCUAGCUAAUCAGUCUGUAUACCUCCGUCCAAAGCUUACCAUGUGAACGCUCUUCAGUAGGCUUAAUGAUCCCAACACCCAUCAACACGUCAGGUCAAGGUGCAGCUUAAGAAAUGGAAAGCAAUUGGCUACAAUUUCUAAUUUAGAACAAACGAAAGGCUAUGUGAAAUCAUAACCAUGAAGGUGGAUUUAGUAGUAAAAAGAAAAUAGAGUGUUCUUUUUAACCCGGCUCUGGGACGUGUACACACCGCCCGUCACCCUCUUCGAUAACUCAUGAUUCUGUCCCUAACCCCAUUAUACCUUAGAAGAGGCAA